Long non-coding RNA from Myotis davidii, 2079 nucleotides. RefSeq lists it as uncharacterized. The record is from RefSeq and is a predicted model, not a curated record. The transcript has 2 exons. NCBI's taxonomy places the organism in Eukaryota, Metazoa, Chordata, Mammalia, Chiroptera, Vespertilionidae.
GAGAGGGCCGGGUUGGAGGGGAACACGGGGUUGGAGGGUUAGCGGGAUCCCCGCGAGGUGCCCGGAUGUGGCGAAGGUGGGGAAUGAGGACGUGUUUCCGAGACUAAGGCCCCUCUGGAGACCACUCCCCAGCUCCGCCUAUUGGAGGCGUCCAAGCCUCUUUUUCCGCCCAGCUAGAGGAAAAGCGAGGGAGUUGGGGGACAGGUGCUAAGCAAAAUGAUUUGAAUUUUGCCCAGCCCGUCUUGCGCGGUGCUUGAGCACCGAUCUGUGAACCAGGUUGGUUUCCGGUUAGGGAACUUGCCGGGGUUGCGGGCUCCAUCUCCAGUGGAGGGCCUGCCGGAGGCGGCCGAUUAGCGAAUGACUCUCGCACCACCUCCUGUGCGUCCAGACCAGGGGUGGAACCGGAAACCUAGGCGUGUGCCCUGACUGGGAAUCAACCGAUAGCCUUUGGGUUCACGGAAGGACGCUCCAGCCAACGGAGCCACACCGGCCAGGGCAAGUGAUUCUUUAAGAUCUACCGAAGCGGAGUCACUCUCAAAUGUAAGCAGUAUCCGGGGUAGAAGUUUUGUCCGCUGUGCUUGCUGAAGUUUCUCCGGCAUCCAGAAGAGUCCAUGGCACGUGACCGACACUCCCAUCAACACACACAGUGGUACGCCUGGAAGCUUUGUAACAAGGAAGACAAGCUUGCUUAUAUCCUUUCAGGAUCACCUUUGGUAGGACCCAGGUUGCUUAUUUUUCAAUGACACGCAUACAAGGAGAGUAGACAACAUUGUAAUAUGUGUUCAUGUUAGACACGUGUCCCACUUCUAAAUGUGUUUCAUCCACAUCUCAGUAGAAAGAACAUCUACGUUUCCACAGGGAAUUUAAAGUCUGUCUAUAUGUAUGUGCCUUGCAGCAUGAGUGACAUAAACAUGCCAAUCUAGAAAUAUUAGAAUGUCACAAAGUUAUGAGUCCUUAAAAUUUAGUUUCCAACAUAUUCAAUAAAAAAAGCUUCAAUACUUUGUUUUGACCCUGGAAAACUACAGAGCAAAGUAGCAGAAUCUAGGAUCACCUAAAUCUCAGGUAAUUUUUUAUGUCAACAGACUGAGGGAAUUAUCAUACCACUUAAGCUCAUUUCAUUCUCACCAGGUAUUAUCACAAUAAAUCUUUUCCUCCACAUUGAAUCAGCACCAUAUGUAUUGGUAUCGGGAUUAAUGUUCACUCUGUAUGAAGUUCAGUUCUAUCAUAUUUCAGUGCAAUAAAUAUCAAACGAGAACUCAGAAUUCAUCUCUUUAGGGCAGGACCACAUUUGAGGAAAAGGAGACUAAUAAUAUCACCCGUAGCAUUUACUUAUUUAUUCCCAGUGUACGUGGGACCGACACAAGGACAGGUCAGAACGGCACACACCAGUAUGUGUGCAGGAUAAUUCCCCCCACGCUAUUCCACUGAAAGGGCAACGAGAACAAUAAGUUGAACUUUGCUUCCUAUGUUGUAAGGAGAGUGUACUCUACAUAAAUAACCAAUACUGUCUCCUACUCGGUGCAUUUUGGGUUCAAAGCUUACCCAGCACAUAUCAGACAAUCAAGUCAAUAGAGAAUAAGUCUCAAAUUUAUGCUUUACCAUGUUGAAGGUUUUGAGAGUAUUUGUUUCUCUUUUAGUACAAUUUUUCUUUCAUGUGUCUGGAAACAUAGAUUUUCAUUUCAUCCUCUUCAACCGUGAGUGUCAAAUACACAAGGAAUUUCGCCAAGUUGAAGAAAUCAAAGCCAUAGCUCAGAAGUUUUGAGAUUGCUAAGGGAUUUCCUAGCCAGAAAAUAACAAUUUUCCAACUGGGGUAAAAGGAAAAAUAUUUUGUAUACCUGUAAGCCAAUCCCUCCCCUCUCUGCCAACUUUCCAGCAAUAACUACAUGAUAACCAUCAACCAACCAACCAGCGUGUGAAGGCAAAUGAAAUAUUGCCCAGGUCAUUGUGGUGUCAACAAAAUGAAAGAAAAAGACAAAGUUUUUCAAAAAAAGCUGCCUUUAUUCCAUUUAAAUGAGUAUUCCUUAUUCUGAGAUUAUGUUCUUUCCACUUUUUGUAUGCUAUUAAAUGUCUUUUAUAUAA